RNAcentral lists this ribosomal RNA (380 nucleotides) under uncultured eukaryote. RNAcentral describes it as "partial 18S ribosomal RNA". It matches the Rfam family "Eukaryotic small subunit ribosomal RNA", at positions 592 to 976 of the family's 1831-position model. The record is from RNAcentral.
CAAUAGCGUAUAUUAAAGUUGUUGCGGUUAAAAAGCUCGUAGUUGGAUUUCUGCUGAGAACGACCGGUCCGCCCUUUGGGUGUGUAUCUGGCUCUUUCUUGGCAUCUUCUUGGUGAACGUUGCUGCACUUGACUGUGUGGAGCGCUACCCAGGACUUUUACUUUGAGGAAAUUAGAGUGUUUCAAGCAGGCAUACGCCUUGAAUACAUUAGCAUGGAAUAAUAAGAUAGGACCUCGGUUCUAUUUUGUUGGUUUCUAGAGCUGAGGUAAUGAUUAAUAGGGAUAGUUGGGGGCAUUCGUAUUUAACUGUCAGAGGUGAAAUUCUUGGAUGUGUUAAAGACGGACUACUGCGAAAGCAUUUGCCAAGGAUGUUUUCAUUGA